AACUAGUAUUAGAGGCACUGCCUGCCCAGUGACUUAAUCGUUAAACGGCCGCGGUAUCUUGACCGUGCAAAGGUAGCAUAAUCACUUGUUCUCUAAAUAAGGGCUUGUAUGAAUGGCCACACGAGGGUUUUACUGUCUCUUACUUCUAAUCAGUGAAAUUGACCUCCCCGUGAAGAGGCGGGGAUAAUACAAUAAGACGAGAAGACCCUAUGGAGCUUUAAUUAAUCAACCCAAAAAACACAAAACAGCACCACCAAGGGAUAACAAAAUUUUACAUGGGUUGACAAUUUCGGUUGGGGUGACCUCGGAGUACAAAAAACCCUCCGAGUGAUUAAAACCUAGCCUACUGGCCAAAGUGUAAUAUCACUUAUUGAUCCAAAUUCUUGAUCAACGGAACAAGUUACCCUAGGGAUAACAGCGCAAUCCUAUUCUAGAGUCCAUAUCGACAAUAGGGUUUACGACCUCGAUGUUGGAUCAGGACAUCCUAAUGGUGUAGCAGCUAUUAAGGGUUCGUUUGUU
This 519-nucleotide ribosomal RNA is filed under the name Delphinapterus leucas (beluga whale). RNAcentral describes it as "partial 16S ribosomal RNA". It matches the Rfam family "Bacterial large subunit ribosomal RNA", at positions 1838 to 2581 of the family's 2925-position model. Lineage: Eukaryota; Metazoa; Chordata; Mammalia; Artiodactyla; Monodontidae. The record is from RNAcentral.